Non-coding RNA from Aegilops tauschii subsp. strangulata, 2232 nucleotides. The record is from RefSeq and is a predicted model, not a curated record. NCBI's taxonomy places the organism in Eukaryota, Viridiplantae, Streptophyta, Magnoliopsida, Poales, Poaceae.
CGUACCAGUGGUUUAGGGCAUGAACAAUGGUGGCAUAUGGAUACAGAUGCCUCAUGAGAAAAAGUAACUUGAGGCAACUACAUUGAUUUUUUUUCUCCUCAACGCAAGCUACUAGUAGUGGGCCUCAUCAAGAAAUAGAAAAUAAAAACUUUAAUACAUAUGCAUCUCUACUCUUCACUUCAAUUUUUUCAGCUUUUCACACUGGACCACACUUUUUCUCCCCAAGAACCUUCCUUUUGCAGAGGAUUCCGCUUCCCUAUCCGAACAUACUUUCUCUGACAUUCUAUCCUACAUGGCACACGGGGCAUCACCAUGAGGCUAUGCAUUGGCCAUGCCCUUAUAUAGGCUACGAACAAUUCUAAAAACAAAGAAGGCUACGAAUGAUUUUUUUUGCCAUUUGCUCACUUUUAUAUUUUAUUGUACAUAUGAAUUUGAAAUAAAUACCUUCUUUUAUUAUUUUAAGAAGUUUUUUUUCUCUUUUGUUUUGUGCAUCUUUAUUUCUUGCCAUUUGCCAUUUGCUCACUUUUAUUAUUUUAUUAUUUCACUUAUCUAUCUACUACCCCUAUAAAAGAAAGAGAGGGCGGAGAACCAAACAAUCAGAUCCAUCCAUUAAUAAGAUCUAACGGCCCUUAAUCCUCCAAUGUUUGACGGAACAAACCACGCAUCCAGUGUUUAACGCUUCAAGCCAUCCAUCGAUAAAACUGCCCCGCCGUUCAGAAAAAAAGCAAACAACGCACGCCCCCACGUUCUCUCGCCCCGCCCGCACGACCUCGACCUCUCGCCCCUGCUCCUCCUCCCCCGCCGUUCGCCCUCUGCCGUUCCUCGCCGCUCCUCCCGAGCCUCCCGCCGCUCCUCCAUUCCUCCGGAGCCGACCGCCACGCCCUUAGCCGCGGGAUCCCCUUCGUCGCGGGAGCCGCCGUCGAGCCCGUCCGUCGCGCCCGAGCCGCCGCCAGAGCCGCCCUUCGCCGCGGGAUCCCCUUCGCCGCGGCUCGCAGGUCGCCGAGCCGCCGCCCCGGAGCCGCCCUUCGCCGUGGCCCGCAGGUCGCCGAGCCGCCGCCCCGGAGCCGCCCUUCGACGCGGCCCGCAGGUUCCCCAGCCGCCGCCCCGGAGCCACCCUUCGCCGCAGGUCGCCGCCGGAGCCGCCCUUCACCACAUGUCUCCUCCCUGCUGGCCGCCCCGCCCUCCACUGCUCUUAUCUUCAAGCCCAAGGCACGCACGCGAUCCCCUCAGCUUCUGUCCUUUCUUCAACCCACCGAUUCGUUUUCUGCAUUAUGAAUUGUUCCCGUCUGAACAUCUACGCGAUCCAAUUACAAUAGAAGCAUAAAUCCCUAUAUAUAUGCAUAUGAAAUUUCAGAGUCCCCAAAGCUGAUUAGAGAGAGAGAUUAACACUUACUCGUAGAGAUUGAUCGAUUUAGGACAUACCCCCAUCUCUCCCAUGCCCUCUUUCUCUCACUUGUUUUUCCUCUCUUAACUGCAGCAUGAAGGAGGCUAGGAUCGAGUGCAGGCCUGCGACCAGGAUCAACAGCAGGAGACAACGUUACAUUGUGGCUGUUAUUAAUACAAUUUUGACCAAAGGAUUUAUUCUUUUUUGGCAGAUGGGCACUUGUUCACCUUUGUUGUAGCGCGGAGACUUGUUCCAGAUAUUUAACAUGUCUUUUUACGUAUCCUUUGUUUGUUCUCAAUUUGGAUGCUUUCAUGCAGAUCAAGUUAUUAUUGAGGACAAAAUGAAGGGGUGCAUUGCAAUCUAGAUUUGACUAAAUGUGUGGCACAAUCUGUUGACAAACACAUUUACAUUUAAGUAUGUGUAGUAUGCUUCAGAUCAGGUCCAAAAUCAGGAUACAUGACAGCUGCAAAGCAAAUAUAUCAAAGUUGCUCGGGUGGAUCUAUUGUGGUUGAAGCUGCUCAGGUGGAUCUAAUCAAGACAACUUAUUGACCGUCUUCCAUUUCAACUGCAGCAAUGUGGGGUGGCGCAUGUGGAGUAGUAGGGUAAAGAGAAGAUGGAGAAGGUGGUUAUUCUGGCCUUACGUUGAGUGUUGAAUCUGGGGUAUAUGAAAAUACUUGAGUUGAAGAAGAUCCGGUACUGGAUAUAAUGAUUGAGGAGAUGCAUGACUUAAAUAAAAAGAGUUGUGAGAAUAUGAAAUAAGGAAAUUACUGUUUCUGAUUGAGUCUUAAUCUAAAGACGACAUUUGUAUGACGCUUGCAUUCACAAAUUGAAGAAACUGUUGUCGAACA